UACGUAGGGCGCAAGCGUUAUCCGGAAUUAUUGGGCGUAAAGAGCUCGUAGGCGGUUUGUCGCGUCUGCUGUGAAAGGCCGGGGCUCAACUCCGGUUCUGCAGUGGGUACGGGCAGACUAGAGUGAUGUAGGGGAGACUGGAAUUCCUGGUGUAGCGGUGAAAUGCGCAGAUAUCAGGAGGAACACCGAUGGCGAAGGCAGGUCUCUGGGCAUUAACUGACGCUGAGGAGCGAAAGCAUGGGGAGCGAACAGG
Molecule: ribosomal RNA, 253 nt
Filed under: uncultured bacterium
Lineage: Bacteria
Description: partial 16S ribosomal RNA
Rfam family: Bacterial small subunit ribosomal RNA
Source: RNAcentral